Molecule: ribosomal RNA, 1140 nt
Filed under: uncultured Bacteroidota bacterium
Lineage: Bacteria; Pseudomonadati; Bacteroidota
Description: bacterial SSU rRNA
Source: RNAcentral
GAGUUUGAUCAUGGCUCAGGAUGAACGCUAGCGGCAGGCUUAAUACAUGCAAGUCGAGGGGCAGCAGCUUUAUAGCAAUAUAGAGGCUGGCGACCGGCAAACGGGUGCGGAACACGUACACAACCUUCCUUGAAUAGGGGGAUAGCCCAUAGAAAUGUGGAUUAAUACCCCGUAAUAUAGCGGUGUGGCAUCACACUGUUAUUAUAGUUUCGGCGAUUCGAGAUGGGUGUGCGGCUGAUUAGGUAGUUGGCGGGGUAAAGGCCCACCAAGCCUUCGAUCAGUAGCUGAUGUGAGAGCAUGAUCAGCCACACGGGCACUGAGACACGGGCCCGACUCCUACGGGAGGCAGCAGUAAGGAAUAUUGGUCAAUGGACGCAAGUCUGAACCAGCCAUGCCGCGUGAAGGAUGAAGGUCCUCUGGAUUGUAAACUUCUUUUAUAGGGGGCGAAAAAAGGUCUUUCUAGAUCACUUGACAGUACCCUAUGAAUAAGCACCGGCUAACUCCGUGCCAGCAGCCGCGGUAAUACGGAGGGUGCAAGCGUUAUCCGGAUUCACUGGGUUUAAAGGGUGCGUAGGCGGGUAGGUAAGUCAGAGGUGAAAUCCUGGAGCUUAACUCCAGAACUGCCUUUGAUACUAUCUAUCUUGAAUAUGGUGGAGGUAAGCGGAAUAUGUCAUGUAGCGGUGAAAUGCAUAGAUAUGACAUAGAACACCUAUUGCGAAAGCAGCUUACUACGCCUAUAUUGACGCUGAGGCACGAAAGCGUGGGGAUCAAACAGGAUUAGAUACCCUGGUAGUCCACGCCCUAAACGAUGAUUACUCGACGUAUGCGAUACACAGUAUGCGUCUGAGCGAAAGCAUUAAGUAAUCCACCUGGGAAGUACGACCGCAAGGUUGAACUCAAAGGAUUGGCGGGGUCCGCACAAGCGGKGAGCAUGUGUUUAAUUCGAUGAUACGCGGAGAACCUUUACUGGCUAGAUGCAGUCUGAACGUGGGGUGAAAGCUCAUUUCGUAGCAAUASCAGAUUGUUAGGUGCUGCAUGCUGUCGUMGCUCGKGCCGUGAGKUGGUUAGUCGCUACAGASCACCUACGUAGUGCAACGUAAGCUGAUCUAAGUAACUCUGCGUGCCGAKACCAGMGKAAGU